This 484-nucleotide ribosomal RNA is filed under the name uncultured bacterium. RNAcentral describes it as "partial 16S ribosomal RNA". It matches the Rfam family "Bacterial small subunit ribosomal RNA", at positions 30 to 507 of the family's 1533-position model. The record is from RNAcentral.
AUUGAACGCUGGCGGCAGGCCUAACACAUGCAAGUCGAGCGGAUGAAGGGAGCUUGCUCCUGGAUUCAGCGGCGGACGGGUGAGUAAUGCCUAGGAAUCUGCCUGGGAGUGGGGGAUAACGUCCGGAAACGGGCGCUAAUACCGCAUACGUCCUGAGGGAGAAAGUGGGGGGUCUUCGGACCUCAUGCUAGCAGAUGAGCCUAGGUCGGAUUAGCUAGUUGGUGGGGUAAAGGCCUACCAAGGCGACGAUCCGUAACUGGUCUGAGAGGAUGAUCAGUCACACUGGAACUGAGACACGGUCCAGACUCCUACGGGAGGCAGCAGUGGGGAAUAUUGGACAAUGGGCGAAAGCCUGAUCCAGCCAUGCCGCGUGUGUGAAGAAGGUCUUCGGAUUGUAAAGCACUUUAAGUUGGGAGGAAGGGCAGUAAGUUAAUACCUUGCUGUUUUGACGUUACCAACAGAAUAAGCACCGGCUAACUUCGUG